RNAcentral lists this ribosomal RNA (496 nucleotides) under uncultured bacterium. RNAcentral's name for it is "partial 16S ribosomal RNA". It matches the Rfam family "Bacterial small subunit ribosomal RNA", at positions 29 to 507 of the family's 1533-position model. The record is from RNAcentral.
ACGAACGCUGGCGGCGUGCCUCAUACAUGCCAGUAGAACGCUGAAGAGAGGAGCUUGCUCUUCUUGGAUGAGUUGCGAACGGGUGAGUAACGCGUAGGUAACCUGCCUUGUAGCGGGGGAUAACUAUUGGAAACGAUAGCUAAUACCGCAUAACAAUGGAUGACACAUGUCAUUUAUUUGAAAGGGGCAAUUGCUCCACUACAAGAUGGACCUGCGUUGUAUUAGCUAGUAGGUGAGGUAAUGGCUCACCUAGGCGACGAUACAUAGCCGACCUGAGAGGGUGAUCGGCCACACUGGGACUGAGACACGGCCCAGACUCCUACGGGAGGCAGCAGUAGGGAAUCUUCCGCAAUGGGGGCAACCCUGACCGAGCAACGCCGCGUGAGUGAAGAAGGUUUUCGGAUCGUAAAGCUCUGUUGUAAGUCAAGAACGGGUGUGAGAGUGGAAAGUUCACACUGUGACGGUAGCUUACCAGAAAGGGACGGCUAACUACGUG